Molecule: long non-coding RNA, 2394 nt
Organism: Oncorhynchus tshawytscha (Chinook salmon)
Lineage: Eukaryota; Metazoa; Chordata; Actinopteri; Salmoniformes; Salmonidae
Source: Ensembl
CCGCUAAGAGUAGAGGACCGCUAAGAGUAGAGGACCGCUAAGAGUAGAGGACCGCUAAGAGUAGAGGACCGCUAAGAGUAGAGGACCUAGUCAAUGCAUUCAACCCGAAAUGUGUCUUCCACAUUUAACCUAACCACUCAGAAUCAGGACAAGAGAGGAAAUUGACCUUCCAAGACUAUAACUGCUGCUGUUAUUCUAAAAUGGCAGAUGUAAUGUAUUGGUGAGGCAAACAGCAGGAUACACUCCAAAGACAUCCAUCGCCCAUCUCCCUGGGUGUCCAUGCCAGGAGUGGGUGUGGCGGCGGGGUUGGAGUCUUCUGAGCUCAUCACUUUGUCUGUCUAGUGUCAGAAAGAAUCAAAGUGAAAAUUAUGUCUCGGUAGAUUAGAGCUGAUGGAUUGAUGCUUAUUGUAUGUGAAUCAAUAAAGCAACUAACUAUGGGUAGCUACAGUAGAAUACCGCAAAACAAUUCCAAGUGAAAUGUGUAACCCUAUUCACAAAUGGGCGUACACUGGCAUUAUGGGACCUAAAUAAUAUAUAACGAUGGCAGAAACAAAUACUUUAGCACAAAUAACCAAAACACGAGCUAGCUAGCUAGCUGACCAUUUCUGGUGCUACGGGUGGGUGUUAUGUUGACCAGUGAGCUGAGAUAAGGCGGAGCUUUACCUAGCAAAGACUUAUAGAUGACCUGGAGCCAGUGGGUCUGGCGACGAUUAUGUAGCGAGGGCCAACUGACGAGAGCAUACAGGUUGCAGUGGUAGGUGGUAUAAGGGGAUUUGGUUACAAAGCGGAUGGUACUGUGAUAGACUGCAUCCAGUUUGCUGAGUAGGUGACGCAACAUAGAAUGCCUUGUGGAGAUUGAGCAAUGGAGAGUUGGCCCACAUCAGCCCAAAGGUUGUGGUGCUGUGGGUGGGCACCAAUAAUCAUGGUCACACUGCAGAGCAGAUCUGUGGAGGCAUCAUGGCCAUAGUCCAACUCAUCAAAGACAAGCUGACUUGCACAGGACACACUGAUAAAUAUGUCUGACACUGAUUCUGUAGCCGCUGAUGUGACUUCCUACAAGCCUCUUGGGCUGGUGUUUACUCAACACUCGUUGCUGUGGGAUUAAUAUAUAAGUGCCUUCUCAGAGAAGCUUGUUAGACAUUCCUCUUGGCUUCUGUUCUGGAGAUAUUCUCUGUGAAUUCUUGUAAUAAACUGAAAUGAUUUAGAUUAAUAUGAUUGACUGCGCUCCCUGUUGUUCACCUCGAAAAUCCCCUUUACAACCAUUAACCUUUUUGAUAACCCAAACUUAAAUUAUGAACUGCAUACUUUAUGGACUCAAUUAUCAUUGCUAACCACAGCAACGAGUGGGCUGGAAGAAAAGCCUGCACUAAAGGCUUUCUAGAACCAGGGUUGGUAACCACUGCACUACUCCAUUCUAUUGGACCAUAAUGUAUGGGGCGGCAGGUACCCUAGUGGUUAGAGCGUUGGGCUAGUAACCGAAAGGUUGCUGGAUCAAAUCGCCGAGCUGACAAGGUAAAAAUCUAUCGUUCUAACCCUGAACAAGGCAGUUAAUCCACUGUUCCUAGGCCGUCAUUGUAAAUAAGCAUUUCUUUACUGACUUGCCUAGUUAAAAAAUGUAGAGGACCGCUAAGAGUAGAGGACCGCUAAGCACUAAUAGGCUCAAACAUCUGUGUUGCUAGUCAGAUUUGACUGCUUAUCAGCAACUGAUUUGAUUGAGCUGAUUUGAGAGAUUAUCCUUCUCUUUAGUUUCAUGCUGUAUGGUGGAUAUGAUGAACAAUAUGCCAGGAUCGCUCUCCUCUGGCUGAUAGAUACAUUAUAAGAGCUUCCCCACAGAAAGGUUAGGAGAAUCUGAAAAGCUACCAUACUAAAGGUUUGUGUUUGUUUCCUCUGUCAAAUUACCGCAUUUCCUGUCUUUUUCUCUGCACUUUGAAAACAUAUACAGUCCUAGUGAUCUGAUUGGUUACGAAUAAUAUAAUUUAAAGUCCCUUUAAUGGUGUCAUAUGGGUUUAGACAGACUAUUUAUGUUGACGAUAAAACAAGGCGUUGUUUGGCUCCACUGUUAAAGCAUUUACUUGUUUCCAGUAUCUGUUUACCACCGUUGCUUGUUGUUACAUGUGAAGAUUCCCUGAAUAUGUCGCAUUUUGGCUGUACCAAAAUAUGCAUAGUAGGGCAGAGACUGGUCGGUAUUUGACUUGGAUGAUACUGUAUGACACUGUAGUCAGUGUGUAUACAUGUGUUGUAGCUAGCUUAUUCUUUUCUUGCACUCUUUAUUCAAAGGCAGUCACCCCACGAGACCCAAGACUCCUUAUAAAAGGCUGCUUUGACUGUUUGUAUAUACUGCUUACGACGAUGGUUGUGUUAAUCUUGGAUUGUGGAAAAUAGGAAUGUGUGAUU